This 411-nucleotide long non-coding RNA is filed under the name Mus spicilegus (steppe mouse). Its description in RNAcentral is "lncRNA (ENSMSIG00000019419.1)". Lineage: Eukaryota; Metazoa; Chordata; Mammalia; Rodentia; Muridae. The record is from RNAcentral.
CUCUUUUCAUCCUCAUCUCUGUCCUACCCAUCUCUCUCCAUUAGAUUGAACAUGGCUGGAAAGCCCAGGCCUGCCUCUGCCCAUCCAGGCCAGAAGAGACCACGGGACAGGAUCAUCUUCUGGGUGGAUGAAAGCAAAAGGACCCCUCUACUUAUCAAUCAGGUGCCAGCCAAGAGCCGGAGGACCCACCUAAGUACAGAGGUCAAGAACACCUACAACACUCACAAGGCCUGCAGGAAGGGUCAUGUGCCCCUGAGGCAGAUAAAGUACCAGACCGAGGAGUUGGAUUCCAUCCGGAGGGAGCUGAGCAAGAUCAAAGCCCAGGUGGACAGCCUGUUGGAGAGUCUGGAGUCCAUGGAGCAGCAGACAGACCAGCACGUGGGGCAGGCGAAGAAUCCAGCAUCGGACUAG